RNAcentral lists this transfer RNA (77 nucleotides) under Methylobacterium sp. Its description in RNAcentral is "tRNA-Asp". It matches the Rfam family "tRNA". Rfam says of the family: Transfer RNA (tRNA) molecules are approximately 80 nucleotides in length. Their secondary structure includes four short double-helical elements and three loops (D, anti-codon, and T loops). RNAcentral also lists the same sequence under 121 other names. The record is from RNAcentral. Lineage: Bacteria; Pseudomonadati; Pseudomonadota; Alphaproteobacteria; Hyphomicrobiales; Methylobacteriaceae.
GCGGGCGUAGCUCAGUCGGUUAGAGUGCCGGCCUGUCACGCCGGAGGUCGCGGGUUCGAGCCCCGUCGCCCGCGCCA